This 460-nucleotide ribosomal RNA is filed under the name uncultured bacterium. Its description in RNAcentral is "partial 16S ribosomal RNA". It matches the Rfam family "Bacterial small subunit ribosomal RNA", at positions 338 to 795 of the family's 1533-position model. The record is from RNAcentral.
CCUACGGGUGGCAGCAGUGAGGAAUAUUGGUCAAUGGGCGUAAGCCUGAACCAGCCAAGUCGCGUGAGGGAUGAAGGUUCUAUGGAUCGUAAACCUCUUUUAUAAGGGAAUAAAGUGUGGGACGUGUCCUAUUUUGUAUGUACCUUAUGAAUAAGGAUCGGCUAACUCCGUGCCAGCAGCCGCGGUAAUACGGAGGAUCCGAGCGUUAUCCGGAUUUAUUGGGUUUAAAGGGUGCGUAGGCGGCCUUUUAAGUCAGCGGUGAAAGUCUGUGGCUCAACCAUAGACUUGCCGUUGAAACUGGGGGUCUGGAGUAGGAGAGAGGCAGGCGGAAUGCGUGGUGUAGCGGUGAAAUGCUUAGAUAUCACGCAGAACCCCGAUUGCGAAGGCAGCCUGCCGGGCCAUGACUGACGCUGAGGCACGAAAGCGUGGGGAUCGAACAGGAUUAGAUACCCUGGUAGUC